CUUUCCAUUCAUUCUAUCGCGGGGGCUCCGUCAUUUUCUCUUUCCUCUUCUACUUCUUGCUCAAGAAGAGUCGUACCCCUAUGACUGUUGCAGCUUGGCGCGCACCUUCUGCACAUAAUUAUUACCCCAUGGCUCGGUCUACCAAGAAUACGGUCAGCGGCAUUACUCAUUUCCACUGAUUCUUCUUGGGGGGAUAGGCAUAACAUCAACAUCUGACAAUUGACAAGCUGCUAAUAAUACCAACGCUCAGCGCAGCAAUCUAUUAGCGAUGGUCAGCAGUAGUAGUAAUUGCUAUUAUUAUUCGUCCGCAUCGGCGAAUAGCAAAUGGACAGAGUGACGGAGGCCGAGAUGGAAUGCCAAAAUGACACAAGCAUCAUCCAAGCAUUAUGUAUCCAUCACUGAACUUCCCCCGAGCCGCAGGACUUGUCGGUCUUCAGUUUUCGUCUUCCAGCUUCCAUCUAAAAAAUGAUAAGGACAAGCCGGAAACAUCAAGACAUCAAGACCCAAGCAAAAUUGGCAACUCUUGAGUCCAACGCCAAGUGUACCAGUGCCCCGAUUUCUGGGCUUUAACGGCCAUCGGUGAUGAUUUCAUGCACUUCAUCAUCUUUCCUUUCCUCUUCUCUAUCUUCUGUUUCUUACUCGCAGUAGCGUGCUAUACUAGCAUACCACUCCAUUAUUGCUGCAUGCCACUCCCCUACUACGAUGACGGGCACUAUGGGGAUCUAAUACAAUCAGUAUUGCGCAAGCACUUUAUCAGCGAUGUUGCACUUCUCUUUCCUCGUCCACCUUGCACUUCCUGCAAACUCCCUGCCAGUUCAUCACGAGUAGUCGAUCUGUCCUCCGUCUACCGUCCACGAAUCCUCCUUCGUUCAUAUCCCGUUUUCCUCGACAUGGCCUUCGGGCGUCAAUCUUGCACGCAUCACUCUGCAACAAUUUUUUUGCCACUCGUUUUUAGAGUAGUAGUGUCUCCUUCGCUAGGAAAACACGUGGAGCAUUAUGAUGCGGGCAUGCGCAGCUAAAUUGGUGCCGACAUGCAGACCGUAUCGCUAUUUUCAUCAAGAACAAACGCCAAACACCUUUAUUUACAUCUCCCGACGACCUUCAUAGCUUCUUCUCCUCCCCCUCUCAUCACUUAUUUAUAAUUAAAUGACCAGUUGCAGUUUCACAGCCGCAGCCCCGUUCCAACUACGGCCUACGUACUGAGCCUAUCGGCCAUCAAAUGGCGGCAAAAGACAAUAUUAUCGUACGUAGAACUUGUAAUCCAAAAGAAAAGUAGAAGAAGAGCAAGAGGCGAGUGGAAGACUGAGAGGUUGGAAAGGGAAAAACAAGGGCACAAAAAGAGGACGACUAUUCUUCAUAUUCAGCUAUAUGCGUACAACACUUAAUCAUAUGCUACUAUCAUGACUAUCA
Molecule: small RNA, 1410 nt
Filed under: Cryptococcus neoformans H99
Lineage: Eukaryota; Fungi; Basidiomycota; Tremellomycetes; Tremellales; Cryptococcaceae
Description: Cryptococcus neoformans var. grubii H99 hypothetical RNA
Source: RNAcentral